GCCUAAUACAUGCAAGUCGAACGAGACCUAGACGAAGUUUACUUUGUUCUAGUGAAAGUGGCGGACGAGCGUGUAACACGUAAGCAUCUGCCCCGUACUCAGGGAUAACACCAUGAAAGUGGUGCUAAUACCGGAUGGUCCCGCAAGGGUAAAGAUUUAUCGGUACGGGAGGAGCUUGCGGCUUAUCAGUUUGUUGGUGGGGUAAAGGCCUACCAAGACUAUGACGAGUAGCGGGUGUGAGAGCAUGACCAGCCGCGAUGGAACUGAGACACGGUCCAUACUCCUACGGGAGGCAGCAGUAAGGAAUCUUCCGCAAUGGGCGAAAGCCUGACGGAGCGACACCGCGUGGUGGAUGAAGGCCCAUGGGUCGUAAACACCUUUUCUAUGGGAAGAAGAUCUGACGGUACCAUAGGAAUAAGCCCCGGCUAAUUACGUGCCAGCAGCCGCGGUAAUACGUAAGGGGCAAGCGUUACCCGGAAUUAUUGGGCGUAAAGCGUCUGCAGGUGGAAUAAUAAGUAGGUUAUUAAAUACCGGAGCUCAACUUCGGUGCUGUAAUCUAAACUGUUAUUCUAGAGGAUAGGAGAGGUAUGCGGAAUUGUGCAAGUAGGGGUAAAAUCCGUAGAUAUGCACAGGAACACCAAAAGCGAAAGCAGCAUACUGGACUAUUCCUGACACUCAGAGACGAAAGCGUAGGUAGCAAAACGGAUUAGAUACCCGUGUAGUCUACGCCGUAAACGAUGCAUGCUCGAUGUAGGCUCCCUCGACCUGGGGUCUGUGUCUUAGGUAACCCGUUAAGCAUGCCGCCUGUGUAGUACGGCCGCAAGGCUAAAACACAAAGGAAUAGACGGGGACCCACACAAGCGGUGGAUUAUGGGGUUUAAUUCGUCAAUAAGCGAGUAACCUUACCCAGACUUGACAUCCUAUUCGUACCUUUUAGAAAUAAUUGGGUCGGUUCGGCCGGAAUAGUGACAGGCGUUGCAUGGUUGCCGUCAGCUCGUGCCUUGAGGUGUUCAGUUAAGUCCGUUAACGAGCGCAACCCUCGUCGUAUGUUGUACUUUCAUGCGAGACUGCCCGUUACAAACGGGAGGAAGGUGAGGAUGACGUCAAAUCAGCAUGACCCUUAUGUCUGGGGCUACACCCGUAAUACAAUGGUUGGUACAAACUGAAACAAAGCCGUAAGGUGAAGCGAAAACAGAAAAAACCAAUCUCAGUUCGGAUUGAAGUCUGCAACUCGACUUCAUGAAGUUGGAAUCGCUAGUAACCGUAUAUCAGUCAUGGUACGGUGAAUCUGUUCCUGGGUCUUGUACUCACCGCCCGUCAAGGCACGGGAGUUGGGGGCGCUCGAAGUCUGCAAAGUAAUUGUGGCCUAAGGUG
This 1374-nucleotide ribosomal RNA is filed under the name uncultured organism. RNAcentral describes it as "bacterial SSU rRNA". It matches the Rfam family "Bacterial small subunit ribosomal RNA". The record is from RNAcentral.